This 253-nucleotide ribosomal RNA is filed under the name uncultured bacterium. Its description in RNAcentral is "partial 16S ribosomal RNA". It matches the Rfam family "Bacterial small subunit ribosomal RNA", at positions 524 to 776 of the family's 1533-position model. The record is from RNAcentral.
UACGUAGGGUGCAAGCGUUGUCCGGAAUUAUUGGGCGUAAAGAGUUCGUAGGCGGUCUGUUGCGUCGGCUGUGAAAACCCGGGGCUCAACCCCGGGCCUGCAGCCGAUACGGGCAGACUAGAGUUCGGCAGGGGAGACUGGAAUUCCUGGUGUAGCGGUGAAAUGCGCAGAUAUCAGGAGGAACACCGGUGGCGAAGGCGGGUCUCUGGGCCGAUACUGACGCUGAGGAGCGAAAGCGUGGGGAGCGAACAGG